Molecule: ribosomal RNA, 468 nt
Filed under: uncultured bacterium
Lineage: Bacteria
Description: partial 16S ribosomal RNA
Rfam family: Bacterial small subunit ribosomal RNA
Source: RNAcentral
GACGAACGCUGGCGGCGUGCUUAACACAUGCAAGUCGAACGGAAAGGCCCUGCUUUUGUGGGGUGCUCGAGUGGCGAACGGGUGAGUAACACGUGAGUAACCUGCCCUUGACUUUGGGAUAACUUCAGGAAACUGGGGCUAAUACCGGAUAGGAGCUCCUGCUGCAUGGUGGGGGGUGGGAAGGUUCGGCGGUUGGGGAUGGACUCGCGGCUUAUCAGCUUGUUGGUGGGGUAGUGGCUUACCAAGGCUUUGACGGGUAGCCGGCCUGAGAGGGUGACCGGCCACAUUGGGACUGAGAUACGGCCCAGACUCCUACGGGAGGCAGCAGUGGGGAAUAUUGCACAAUGGGCGGAAGCCUGAUGCAGCAACGCCGCGUGCGGGAUGACGGCCUUCGGGUUGUAAACCGCCUUCGCCUGUGACGAAGCGUGAGUGACGGUAAUGGGUAAAGAAGCACCGGCUAACUACGUG